GGGACACUUCACCCUCAAUGCAACAGGAUGUCAAGUGGGAUAUGCAGCUGCUGAUGAGAGUUUCUGGGGGAAGAUGGAUUGGAGCAGACACUGUGAGAUGGGUUAUGGGCAGAGAAUCCACUGGAGGAUCCAAGGGCUCUGGGGAAUGGUGGAUCCUUUCUAUGGAAGAGCUUGGGCUCAUCAGUAACUGCUGGGUAGAGCAGACCAUGUUCAUAGGUAAAGACCCAUGCUGCACUAUGACAGGGCUAAGAAAAUAGCACUUGAUUCUUAAAC
Molecule: long non-coding RNA, 273 nt
Filed under: Chinchilla lanigera (long-tailed chinchilla)
Lineage: Eukaryota; Metazoa; Chordata; Mammalia; Rodentia; Chinchillidae
Description: lncRNA (ENSCLAG00000027632.1)
Source: RNAcentral